CUCGUUGGCCUCGGUGCCGGGCGACCCGCUACGAUGCCUCCAGUGCCGCGGUCACCGACCUGCGGCGCAGU
Molecule: transfer RNA, 71 nt
Filed under: Streptomyces hygroscopicus subsp. jinggangensis TL01
Lineage: Bacteria; Bacillati; Actinomycetota; Actinomycetes; Kitasatosporales; Streptomycetaceae
Description: tRNA-Gly
Source: RNAcentral